UAAAACCUAGGGUGUGCGUAUAAUCUGUAUUUUCAACCGACAGUGUACAUCAGGGAGCCUGAGUUUUUUCAUCUAUGUUAAGCCUUUUUAAGGAAAACAGAAAUGAAGAAUAGGGCACCCACCUGCCUGAGAGCGGGGAUGAAAAUUACGGAGAAACGGCAUCACUGGGAAUUGC
RNAcentral lists this non-coding RNA (175 nucleotides) under Eubacteriaceae bacterium. Its description in RNAcentral is "6S RNA". It matches the Rfam family "6S / SsrS RNA". From Rfam's summary of the family: E. coli 6S RNA was the first non coding RNA to be sequenced, but its function was unknown until recently. It consists of 184 nucleotides that fold into an extended hairpin structure with a large single-stranded internal bulge. Lineage: Bacteria; Bacillati; Bacillota; Clostridia; Eubacteriales; Eubacteriaceae. The record is from RNAcentral.